Molecule: ribosomal RNA, 825 nt
Filed under: Escherichia coli
Lineage: Bacteria; Pseudomonadati; Pseudomonadota; Gammaproteobacteria; Enterobacterales; Enterobacteriaceae
Description: partial 23S ribosomal RNA
Rfam family: Bacterial large subunit ribosomal RNA
Source: RNAcentral
ACAAACCUUAGCUAGCAGUAUCCUGAGUAGGGCGGGACACGAGAAAUCCUGUCUGAAGCUGGGUCGACCACGAUCCAACCCUAAAUACUAAUACCAGAUCGAUAGUGCACAAGUACCGUGAGGGAAAGGUGAAAAGAACUGAGGUGAUCAGAGUGAAAUAGAACCUGAAACCAUUUGCUUACAAUCAUUCAGAGCCCUAUGUAGCAAUACAGGGUGAUGGACUGCCUUUUGCAUAAUGAGCCUGCGAGUUGUGGUGUCUGGCAAGGUUAAGCAAACGCGAAGCCGUAGCGAAAGCGAGUCUGAAUAGGGCGCUUAGUCAGAUGCUGCAGACCCGAAACGAAGUGAUCUAUCCAUGAGCAAGUUGAAGCUAGUGUAAGAACUAGUGGAGGACUGAACCCAUAGGCGUUGAAAAGCCCCGGGAUGACUUGUGGAUAGGGGUGAAAGGCCAAUCAAACUUCGUGAUAGCUGGUUCUCUCCGAAAUAUAUUUAGGUAUAGCGUUGUGUCGUAAUAUAAGGGGGUAGAGCACUGAAUGGGCUAGGGCAUACACCAAUGUACCAAACCCUAUCAAACUCCGAAUACCUUAUAUGUAAUCACAGCAGUCAGGCGGCGAGUGAUAAAAUCCGUCGUCAAGAGGGAAACAACCCAGACUACCAGCUAAGGUCCCUAAAUCUUACUUAAGUGGAAAACGAUGUGAAGUUACUUAAACAACCAGGAGGUUGGCUUAGAAGCAGCCAUCCUUUAAAGAAAGCGUAAUAGCUCACUGGUCUAGUGAUUUUGCGCGGAAAAUAUAACGGGGCUAAAGUAAGUACCGAAGCUGUAGACUU